Molecule: long non-coding RNA, 324 nt
Filed under: Carica papaya (papaya)
Lineage: Eukaryota; Viridiplantae; Streptophyta; Magnoliopsida; Brassicales; Caricaceae
Description: long non-coding RNA (CPAP_LNC002890)
Source: RNAcentral
AAGAGAGUCACGAAGAGGGAGAAAGGAGCUCAGGGAGAGAGAGAGAAAAAGAGCAGGAGGGAACAGACCAGAUCGGCGGUGAGGAAGGUUUAUUACGUACAAUGUGUUGUACGAUAGAGAGGCCCAUAACCAGAAGGCUAGAGAGAGAGAAUGCAUAACGGUGCGUGCAGAAAAGAAAGAGACAGCGACAUUGGCCAGGCAUGGUUCCAUGCAUCCACACUUUUCUCCAAUGUGAUUCUGCCAUAUUCGAGCCAGAUUUGCGUGUGCUGCUCAUUUUGUGAUGAUUUCUAGCCAAAGCAUGGCAACGCGUGGGUGGUUUUGGUG